GACCGAGAUAUGCUGAGCUGAGA
Molecule: non-coding RNA, 23 nt
Filed under: Arabidopsis thaliana (thale cress)
Lineage: Eukaryota; Viridiplantae; Streptophyta; Magnoliopsida; Brassicales; Brassicaceae
Source: RNAcentral